CGCGGGGCAACCUGGCGGCGAGCGGCGAACGGGUGAGUAAUGCAUCGGAACAUGUCCAUGUCGUGGGGGAUAGCCCGGCGAAAGCCGGAUUAAUACCGCAUAAGCCCGAGAGGGGAAAGCAGGGGACCGCAAGGCCUUGCGCGAUUGGGUUGGCCGAUGUCCGAUUAGCUUGUUGGUGAGGUAAAGGCUUACCAAGGCGAUGAUCGGUAGCUGGUCUGAGAGGAUGAUCAGCCACACUGGGACUGAGACACGGCCCAGACUCCUACGGGAGGCAGCAGUGGGGAAUUUUGGACAAUGGGGGCAACCCUGAUCCAGCCAUUCCGCGUGAGUGAAGAAGGCCUUCGGGUUGUAAAGCUCUUUUGUCCGGAGCGAAACGGUGGCGGUGAAUAUCCGCCACUACUGACGGUACCAUAAGAAUAAGCACCGGCUAACUACGUGCCAGCAGCCGCGGUAAUACGUAGGGUGCAAGCGUUAAUCGGAAUUACUGGGCGUAAAGCGUGCGCAGGC
RNAcentral lists this ribosomal RNA (507 nucleotides) under uncultured bacterium. Its description in RNAcentral is "bacterial SSU rRNA". It matches the Rfam family "Bacterial small subunit ribosomal RNA", at positions 72 to 576 of the family's 1533-position model. The record is from RNAcentral.